Long non-coding RNA from Pollicipes pollicipes, 271 nucleotides. RefSeq lists it as uncharacterized. The transcript is spliced from 3 exons. NCBI's taxonomy places the organism in Eukaryota, Metazoa, Arthropoda, Thecostraca, Pollicipedomorpha, Pollicipedidae. The record is from RefSeq and is a predicted model, not a curated record.
AGUAAUUCCCGGUGUUUGUCUGGACGGUGAGAGGAAGACCGACGGUUGUAACCACUGCUCCUGCUUGGGAGGCGCCUGGGCUUGCACCCUCAGAGCCUGCGUCGACCCCGCAGAUACAUUUCCUGGAUCGCUGCCUUGCAAGCUGGCUCCCCACAUCAAAGGGUGUUGAAAAAUCCCGCCACCAUAUCAAGAAUACCUGCUUGACUAAAUUAGGCAGGACAAUUGUUGGCUGAUCAAAGAAAAUGACGUGACAACGUGACAAGACCCGAGC